CCUACGGGUGGCAGCAGUGAGGAAUAUUGGUCAAUGGGCGCGAGCCUGAACCAGCCAAGCCGCGUGAAGGAUGACUGCCCUACGGGUUGUAAACUUCUUUUAUCAAGGAAUAAAGUGGGGCACGUGUGCCUUUUUGUAUGUACCUUAUGAAUAAGCAUCGGCUAACUCCGUGCCAGCAGCCGCGGUAAUACGGAGGAUCCGAGCGUUAUCCGGAUUUAUUGGGGUUAAAGGGGGCGUAGAUGGGUUGUUAAGUCAGUUGUGAAAGGUUGCGGCUCAACCGUAGAAUUGCAUUUGAUACUGGCAGUCGUGAGUACAGUUGAGGUAGGCGGAAUUCGUGGUGUAGCGGUGAAAUGCGUAGAUAUCACGAAGAACUCCGAUUGCGAAGGCAGCCUACUAGACUGCCACUGACGUUGAGGCUCGAAAGUGUGGGUAUCAAACAGGAUUAGAUACCCGUGUAGUC
RNAcentral lists this ribosomal RNA (460 nucleotides) under uncultured bacterium. RNAcentral's name for it is "partial 16S ribosomal RNA". It matches the Rfam family "Bacterial small subunit ribosomal RNA", at positions 338 to 795 of the family's 1533-position model. The record is from RNAcentral.